AACUCAGCUAGGGAGAGUCUAACAUAAUCACUGAUGAGACCUAGACGAAACUACGGUAAACAUUUGCAUCAUACUGUAGUCUGAUA
Molecule: non-coding RNA, 86 nt
Filed under: unclassified sequences
Source: RNAcentral